UUAAAUAUUCACAAGGACUUCAGCUAUACAAUUGUUUUUGGAUUGAGAACUUUUCUGGAGGAGAAGUUUCAAGGUUUUUUAGAUAGCAGAGAGUACACAAGUUGUAAACUUCUGCAUAAACCGAAUGAAACUCAUUCCUUAAAUAGAAAAAUUCUUGGGAGCAAAAAGUCAAAUCUAUCCUUGAGAAAGGCACACGUUUCACCGAGAAACUUCUGGCCAUUCUAACAAAUGGUAAAAAUUUCUGUCUUUUUGCUAAAAAUUCUAAAGGUCUACAGUUGGGAAUCUUUUCUUUUUCAAAAAGUCCCGACACCUUUUCUAAUAAUACAACAAUAAUGAAAAAAUUUUCAAAAAGUCUACAACAUAAUGAUAAAAAGUCUUCUAUUUUUUCUUCUUUUNUUUCUAAUAAUACAACAAUAAUGAAAAAAUUUUCAAAAAGUCUACAACAUAAUGAUAAAAAGUCUUCUAUUUUUUCUUCUUUUCUUUCAGAUUUGUCUUGUUAUACAUUAUUGAGGAUCUUUAUCACGUAUCAAAAUUGUGACGUGCCACUAAUGAAAAUAACAUUUCACUGUCUGAAUUAUUGUAUCCUUCGUUCUGUGAAUCUUCGUCUUCAUCUGAAAAUCUGAAAUUACUGGCUUCAUCUUUUUCUUUUUGAUCUGGACAUUCUGCAAUUUCUUUCUUUUCUUCAUGAUUCUUUUUUAGAAUUGUCUCAAAUGCUUGAUUUACUGCUUCUCUAAUUUGUUCUUUUAUCUUUCAUCAUUUUUCUUCUUCUUAAUCUUUUUCUUUUUCUGGAAGUUCCUUCAUCUUUUUUGGAUUGCUUAUGAAACUCUUCAAUUUUUUCAAAAAUCUUUUCUAGAGAAACAAUAUCUGGAUUAGGGUCUUGUGAUUCUUGAAAAAAUAAACAGUAUUGACUAUCUUGAGCCACCAUUUUUUCUUUUUCCUUACUAAGCUGAAUUUUUUGGGCUUGUGAAAAAUCUGGAUUAUUUGAGAAGUGUUCUGGUGAAAAAUGUUCUGGUGGACUAUAUUUGACUCAAUAAUCUAGAAAAAAUAGAUUUUGGAACCAUAGAACUAAUUGAAAAUGAAAAGAUUUAUGAUAUGUUGAUAACAGAACAAGAAAUAGAAAAUUUAAUAUCUAGAUUAGAAAAAAUAGAAAUAAUAGGAGAAAAUGUUUUAAAAUACUGGGAGAAAGAUAAAAUCUUAUGUGAAUUAAAAAUUAAAAAUCCAGAAUACAUAAUUAAAAC
RNAcentral lists this long non-coding RNA (1238 nucleotides) under Olea europaea (common olive). RNAcentral's name for it is "long non-coding RNA (OEUR_LNC007880)". Lineage: Eukaryota; Viridiplantae; Streptophyta; Magnoliopsida; Lamiales; Oleaceae. The record is from RNAcentral.